UAAGCGACUAAGCGUACACGGUGGAUGCCCUGGCAGUCAGAGGCGAUGAAGGACGUGCUAAUCUGCGAAAAGCGCCGGCGAGGUGAUAUGAACCUUUGACCCGGCGAUGUCCGAAUGGGGAAACCCAGUGCAAUUCGUUGCACUAUCGUUAACUGAAUACAUAGGUUAACGAGGCGAACCGGGGGAACUGAAACAUCUAAGUACCCCGAGGAAAAGAAAUCAACCGAGAUUCCCCCAGUAGCGGCGAGCGAACGGGGAGCAGCCCGGAGUCUGAAUCAGCUUGUGUGUUAGUGGAACGGUCUGGAAAGUCCGACGGUACAGGGUGAUAGUCCCGUACACGAAAGCACACAUGCUGUGAACUCGAAGAGUAGGGCGGGACACGUGGUAUCCUGUCUGAAUAUGGGGGGACCAUCCUCCAAGGCUAAAUACUCCUGACUGACCGAUAGUGAACCAGUACCGUGAGGGAAAGGCGAAAAGAACCCCGGCGAGGGGAGUGAAAAAGAACCUGAAACCGUGUACGUACAAGCAGUGGGAGCCUCUUUAUGGGGUGACUGCGUACCUUUUGUAUAAUGGGUCAGCGACUUAUAUUCUGUAGCAAGGUUAACCGUAUAGGGGAGCCGAAGGGAAACCGAGUCUUAACUGGGCGUUAAGUUGCAGGGUAUAGACCCGAAACCCGGUGAUCUAGCCAUGGGCAGGUUGAAGGUUGGGUAACACUAACUGGAGGACCGAACCGACUAAUGUUGAAAAAUUAGCGGAUGACCUGUGGCUGGGGGUGAAAGGCCAAUCAAACCGGGAGAUAGCUGGUUCUCCCCGAAAGCUAUUUAGGUAGCGCCUCGUGAACUCAUCUUCGGGGGUAGAGCACUGUUUCGGCUAGGGGGCCAUCCCGGCUUACCAACCCGAUGCAAACUACGAAUACCGAAGAAUGUUAUCACGGGAGACACACGGCGGGUGCUAACGUCCGUCGUGAAGAGGGAAACAACCCAGACCGCCAGCUAAGGUCCCAAAGUCAUGGUUAAGUGGGAAACGAUGUGGGAAGGCACAGACAGCCAGGAUGUUGGCUUAGAAGCAGCCAUCAUUUAAAGAAAGCGUAAUAGCUCACUGGUCGAGUCGGCCUGCGCGGAAGAUGUAACGGGGCUAAACCAUGCACCGAAGCUGCGGCAGCGACGCUUAUGCGUUGUUGGGUAGGGGAGCGUUCUGUAAGCCGUUGAAGGUGUCCUGUGAGGGGUGCUGGAGGUAUCAGAAGUGCGAAUGCUGACAUAAGUAACGAUAAAGCGGGUGAAAAGCCCGCUCGCCGGAAGACCAAGGGUUCCUGUCCAACGUUAAUCGGGGCAGGGUGAGUCGACCCCUAAGGCGAGGCCGAAAGGCGUAGUCGAUGGGAAACAGGUUAAUAUUCCUGUACUUGGUGUUACUGCGAAGGGGGGACGGAGAAGGCUAUGUCAGCCGGGCGACGGUUGUCCCGGUUUAAGCAUGUAGGCGGAGGUUCCAGGUAAAUCCGGUACCUUAUUAACGCUGAGGUGUGAUGACGAGGCACUACGGUGCUGAAGUGAUAAAUGCCCUGCUUCCAGGAAAAGCCUCUAAGCAUCAGGUAACACGAAAUCGUACCCCAAACCGACACAGGUGGUCAGGUAGAGAAUACCAAGGCGCUUGAGAGAACUCGGGUGAAGGAACUAGGCAAAAUGGUGCCGUAACUUCGGGAGAAGGCACGCUGAUGUGUAGGUGAAGUCCCUGCGGACGGAGCUGAAAUCAGUCGAAGAUACCAGCUGGCUGCAACUGUUUAUUAAAAACACAGCACUGUGCAAACACGAAAGUGGACGUAUACGGUGUGACGCCUGCCCGGUGCCGGAAGGUUAAUUGAUGGGGUUAGCGGCAACGCGAAGCUCUUGAUCGAAGCCCCGGUAAACGGCGGCCGUAACUAUAACGGUCCUAAGGUAGCGAAAUUCCUUGUCGGGUAAGUUCCGACCUGCACGAAUGGCGUAAUGAUGGCCAGGCUGUCUCCACCCGAGACUCAGUGAAAUUGAACUCGCUGUGAAGAUGCAGUGUACCCGCGGCAAGACGGAAAGACCCCGUGAACCUUUACUAUAGCUUGACACUGAACACUGGUCCUUGAUGUGUAGGAUAGGUGGGAGGCUUUGAAGCGUGGACGCCAGUCUGCGUGGAGCCAACCUUGAAAUACCACCCUUUAAUGGCUGGUGUUCUAACGUAGACCCGUAAUCCGGGUUGCGGACAGUGUCUGGUGGGUAGUUUGACUGGGGCGGUCUCCUCCCAAAGAGUAACGGAGGAGCACGAAGGUUGGCUAAUCCUGGUCGGACAUCAGGAGGUUAGUGCAAUGGCAUAAGCCAGCUUGACUGCGAGCGUGACGGCGCGAGCAGGUGCGAAAGCAGGUCAUAGUGAUCCGGUGGUUCUGAAUGGAAGGGCCAUCGCUCAACGGAUAAAAGGUACUCCGGGGAUAACAGGCUGAUACCGCCCAAGAGUUCAUAUCGACGGCGGUGUUUGGCACCUCGAUGUCGGCUCAUCACAUCCUGGGGCUGAAGUAGGUCCCAAGGGUAUGGCUGUUCGCCAUUUAAAGUGGUACGCGAGCUGGGUUUAGAACGUCGUGAGACAGUUCGGUCCCUAUCUGCCGUGGGCGCUGGAGAAUUGAGGGGGGCUGCUCCUAGUACGAGAGGACCGGAGUGGACGCAUCACUGGUGUUCGGGUUGUCAUGCCAAUGGCACUGCCCGGUAGCUAAAUGCGGAAGAGAUAAGUGCUGAAAGCAUCUAAGCACGAAACUUGCCCCGAGAUGAGUUCUCCCUGAGACCUUGAGUCUCCUGAAGGAACGUUGAAGACGACGACGUUGAUAGGUCGGGUGUGUAAGCGCAGCGAUGCGUUGAGCUAACCGAUACUAAUGAACCGUGAGGCUUAACCU
Molecule: ribosomal RNA, 2902 nt
Filed under: Enterobacter hormaechei subsp. hoffmannii
Lineage: Bacteria; Pseudomonadati; Pseudomonadota; Gammaproteobacteria; Enterobacterales; Enterobacteriaceae
Description: bacterial LSU rRNA
Rfam family: Bacterial large subunit ribosomal RNA
Source: RNAcentral